RNAcentral lists this ribosomal RNA (467 nucleotides) under uncultured bacterium. RNAcentral's name for it is "partial 16S ribosomal RNA". It matches the Rfam family "Bacterial small subunit ribosomal RNA", at positions 28 to 506 of the family's 1533-position model. The record is from RNAcentral.
GACGAACGCUGGCGGCGUGCUUAACACAUGCAAGUCGAACGGUGAAGCUCCAGCUUGCUGGGGUGGAACAGUGGCGAACGGGUGAGUAACACGGGAGCAACCUGCCCCUGACUCGGGAAUAAGCGCUGGAAACGGCGUCUAAUACUGGAUACGAGAAGGGUCCGCAUGGGCACUUUCUGGAAAGUUGUUCGGUGGGGGAUGGGCUCGCGGCAUAUCAGCUUGUUGGUGAGGUAAUGGCUCACCAAGGCGACGACGGGUAGCCGGACUGAGAGGGCGACCGGCCACACUGGGACUGAGGCGCGGCCCGGACUCCUACGGGAGGCAGCAGUGGAGACUAUGGCCCAAUGGGCGAAAGCCUGAUGCAGCGACGCCGCGUGGGGGAUGACGGCCUUCGGGUUGUAAACCCCUUUCAGCAGGGAAGAAGCGAAAGUGACGGUACCUGAAGAAGAAGCACCGGCUAACUACGG